RNAcentral lists this unclassified non-coding RNA (392 nucleotides) under plant metagenome. RNAcentral describes it as "partial contains small subunit ribosomal RNA, internal transcribed spacer 1, and 5.8S ribosomal RNA". The stretch from base 344 to 392 matches the Rfam family "5.8S ribosomal RNA", at positions 1 to 49 of the family's 154-position model. The record is from RNAcentral.
UUUCCGUAGGUGAACCUGCGGAAGGAUCAUUAACACGUUUUUUUACAAAAACGUUAUCUUUGCCACCAUGUCAACCAAGCGCGCACAAAUGUAGGCUACAAUCAUAGGGCAAACACAAAGGUGGCAGCUUUCUUGCAAGAGGCGCUGGCUCCGGGCCAGACUUCUUAACAAAAGUUACUAAAUAUUUGGGUUAUGUCCGUUGCCGAUUUGCCCAACAUUUUUAUUUAUUUUCCAACUCUUAUCUUGAGUAUUUUUUUCUGUUUCUGAAAUUUAUUUUUCAGAAUCCUGCCAAGCUUAAAUCUGCCACUGUGCGAUGGACAACUUGUGCACAACCAAUUUUGUCAUCUCUUAGCAACGAAUAUCUUGGUUCCCGCAUCGAUGAAGACCGCAGC